GGAAAGCUGACUGCUCAACACUUCUGAAAGCACCUGGCCGAGCUGUCCUGCUCCGAGUGUCCAAGGAACCAGAAGCCAACAUGAGUCAACGCUCUGGGAAACAUCGGCCUGCCAAGGUCACAUAAAAAUCUAUUUCUUCUGUGUGUGUCUGAAGAUCCUGAACAGAGUCAAUCCCCACUAACCAAGCAAAUGGAGAGAGCAGAUAGCCCAGAUACAGCCAAACUCAGAAGAGUAAAAAACAGGCUGAAGGAAAUGGUACCUGCAAUUGCUAUGCUGAAGGAGUGCUGUUCCAUCCCAAGGCAGCCCAGAGCAGAGCUGUGGUCCAAGCAAAGGGGAAAGUCAAGCACAAGCAGAGGCAUAAGAGGAGGAUGUUUUGGUGGCUCUGAUGAGAGAGGAAUGCCCUAGUGCAAGCUGCAAUUUGGGUCACAGUGUGGUAAGAGAAGAAGAUACAAAGCCUCAGAUGGCUGGAGGACAGUGUUUGGCAAGAGCCUGGGAGAUCCACCUAGAAAAAUCUGAAUCUAAGACAAAGGAAACCCAUGAUUCAAUUUCAAGAUGUGUCAGGUCAGCCACGAAGAUAGAUACAGACAGAGAGGAGGAGAGGUGAGAAUGCACUUCCUUUGCUUUUAAAAGAAAGGCCAGAGAAGAAGAAAAUCCACUAAAUGUAACAGCCAGUGAAAUAAGUAAAGUAUUUGGGAGGUUAUUUUCUUGGUAACAAGCUAAUGUAAAUAGAUCUUUGUAUUAGGUCAUAAAUGUGACUUCCACAAAGAUGUAAGUGAACUCCCCUCAUUCAAAGGCUGCUGUGGGCUGGACAUUUCCAUGGAAUUCCCUCCCUGGACCCUCCACUGUUUCCUGUCAGGCCUUCACACAGCAGGGCAGUCCCACUCCUGACAAUGAGUAAGGCUCAGGACUAUUGUAACCAAAAACCAAAAUGUGUUUCCAUUAAAAAAAUCUGGCUGAUAGCAAUUAAU
Molecule: non-coding RNA, 968 nt
Organism: Taeniopygia guttata (zebra finch)
Lineage: Eukaryota; Metazoa; Chordata; Aves; Passeriformes; Estrildidae
Source: RefSeq, a predicted model, not a curated record